Molecule: ribosomal RNA, 25 nt
Filed under: Ampelomyces quisqualis
Lineage: Eukaryota; Fungi; Ascomycota; Dothideomycetes; Pleosporales; Phaeosphaeriaceae
Description: partial 18S ribosomal RNA
Source: RNAcentral
GACCCUGCGGAAGGAUCAUUAUGUU